AUUGAACGCUGGCGGAAUGCCUAACACAUGCAAGUCGAGCGAGGUGUAGCAAUACAUCUAGCGGCGGACGGGUGAGGAACGCAUAGGAAUCUACCUUUUAGUGGGGGAUAACCCGGGGAAACUCGGAUUAAUACCGCAUACGAUCUACGGAUGAAAGUGGGGGACCGCAAGGCCUCACGCUGUUAGAUGAGCCUAUGUCCGAUUAGCUAGUUGGUAGGGUAAUGGCCUACCAAGGCGACGAUCGGUAGCUGGUUUGAGAGAACGAUCAGCCACACUGGAACUGAGACACGGCCCAGACUCCUACGGGAGGCAGCAGUGGGGAAUUUUGCGCAAUGGGCGAAAGCCUGACGCAGCGACGCCGCGUGGAGGAUGAAGGCCCUUGGGUCGUAAACUCCUGUCGGGUGGGAAGAAAGGUCUCGAGUGAAUAACUCGGGAAUCUGACUGUACCACCGGA
This 454-nucleotide ribosomal RNA is filed under the name uncultured bacterium. RNAcentral's name for it is "bacterial SSU rRNA". It matches the Rfam family "Bacterial small subunit ribosomal RNA", at positions 30 to 485 of the family's 1533-position model. The record is from RNAcentral.